UACGUAGGGUCCGAGCGUUGUCCGGAAUUAUUGGGCGUAAAGGGCUCGUAGGCGGUUGGUCACGUCGGGAGUGAAAACUCAGGGCUCAACCCUGAGCGUGCUUCCGAUACGGGCCGACUAGAGGUAUGCAGGGGAGAACGGAAUUCCUGGUGUAGCGGUGGAAUGCGCAGAUAUCAGGAGGAACACCGGUGGCGAAGGCGGUUCUCUGGGCAUUACCUGACGCUGAGGCGCGAAAGCGUGGGGAGCGAACAGG
RNAcentral lists this ribosomal RNA (253 nucleotides) under uncultured bacterium. RNAcentral describes it as "partial 16S ribosomal RNA". It matches the Rfam family "Bacterial small subunit ribosomal RNA", at positions 524 to 776 of the family's 1533-position model. The record is from RNAcentral.